UCGGGAAUUUUGGGCAAUGGGCGAAAGCCUGACCCAGCAACGCCGCGUGAGGGAUGAAGUAUUUCGGUAUGUAAACCUCGAAAGAAUGGGAAGAAUAAAUGACGGUACCAUUUAUAAGCUCCCGCUAACUACGUGCCAGCAGCCGCGGUAAUACGUAGGGAGCAAGCGUUGUUCGGAUUUACUGGGCGUAAAGGGCGCGUAGGCGGCGCGGUAAGUCACUUGUGAAAUCUCUGAGCUUAACUCAGAACGGCCAAGUGAUACUGCUGUGCUAGAGUGCGGAAGAGGCAACCGGAAUUCUUGGUGUAGCGGUGAAAUGCGUAGAUAUCAAGAGGAACACCUGAGGCGAAGGCGGGUUGCUGGGCCGACACUGACGCUGAUGCGCGAAAGCCAGGGGAGCAAAC
This 401-nucleotide ribosomal RNA is filed under the name uncultured bacterium. RNAcentral's name for it is "bacterial SSU rRNA". It matches the Rfam family "Bacterial small subunit ribosomal RNA", at positions 355 to 773 of the family's 1533-position model. The record is from RNAcentral.